Molecule: non-coding RNA, 417 nt
Organism: Pelobates cultripes (western spadefoot toad)
Lineage: Eukaryota; Metazoa; Chordata; Amphibia; Anura; Pelobatidae
Source: the annotation of a GenBank genome assembly
AGGCAGUCUAUUGCUGGGUUUAGCUAGGCAGUCUAUUGCUGGGUUUAGCUAGGCAGUCUAUUGCUGGGUUUAGCUAGGCAGUCUAUUGCUGGGUUUAUCUAGGCAGUCUAUUGCUGGGAUUAUCUAGGCAGUCUAUUGCUGGGUUUAGCUAGGCAGUCUAUUGCUGGGAUUAUCUAGGCAGUCUGUUGCUGGGUUUAGCUAGGCAGUCUGUUGCUGGGUUUAGCUAGGCAGUCUAUUGCUGGGUUUAGCUAGGCAGUCUAUUGCUGGGUUUAUCUAGGCAGUCUAUUGCUGGGUUUAUCUAGGCAGUCUAUUGCUGGGAUUAUCUAGGCAGUCUAUUGCUGGGUUUAGCUAGGCAGUCUAUUGCUGGGUUUAUCUAGGCAGUCUAUUGCUGUGUUUAGCUAGGCAGUCUAUUGCUGG